Molecule: long non-coding RNA, 190 nt
Organism: Quercus lobata
Lineage: Eukaryota; Viridiplantae; Streptophyta; Magnoliopsida; Fagales; Fagaceae
Exons: 3
Source: RefSeq, a predicted model, not a curated record
AGAUGAUAGAGCUUCUUGGGGGUAAAGCUGGAGUUUCAUGUGGUAGGUUUCAUUAUGGCAGUGCCUUUGGGGAACCAAGCGGUCAUGCAGACACAGUUGAAGCUAUGAGUGAAAUUCUUGUGAACAAAGGCUUUAGCUACAACGGCAAAGACUUUCUGUAUUCAGGUCCUAGAUAAAAUGCAUGCUCGAG